This is a long non-coding RNA of Erigeron canadensis, 805 nucleotides long. RefSeq lists it as uncharacterized. The record is from RefSeq and is a predicted model, not a curated record. The transcript is spliced from 7 exons. NCBI's taxonomy places the organism in Eukaryota, Viridiplantae, Streptophyta, Magnoliopsida, Asterales, Asteraceae.
GAUUAUGCUCUGGGUUGAAUGUUACAAAAGGAUAGUUUGCUUAUAAAAUUUUCUUUGAACAUACUGCAUUACUCGAAAAUGAGUCAACGGUUUCCAUCUCAUCAGUUACCAUCAUGGGGUAUAAGUGGCAAAAUAGUAUGACAGGGUGGGUUGCUUAACUCUUGAUGGUAUGUCUGCUUAACAUAUAUGAAUGAGAAAGGAGAAGCUUGCUUACAUUGCUCGAGACUAUGAGCAAGAGCUUGAGACUGCCAACAUCUCCUGUUGAGAGGAGUUAUGAGCUGCCUGAUGGGCGAGUAGACAUCACCAUUUUUUAUGAGCAUUUUCAUUGUUCAGAGGUCUUAUUUCUGCCAUCAUUAAUUGGAAUGGAAGCUGUUGGUAUUCAUGAGACCACAUAUAACCCCAUUAUGAAAUGUGACCCGGAGGUGAACCAUAUGCAUCUGGGUUGGAAGAUGAAAUUAUAUGAAUAUGGCAGAUGUGCUUCUGGGUUAGAGGUUAACGUCACGCUUCGGAUAUCAUUUGCAUUUUAUCACAUUCACUACUCCCUACGUAUAUAGAAGGGUUAAUGAACGCGUUACAUCAGAUAAAACAAAAAGCACCGGAUGGACAGAGAAAAGAGAGGAGACCAUCUCUAGUGAUAUAAAAGGGUUAAUGAACGCGUUACAUCAGAUCAAAGAAAAAACAGAAGGAUGGACAGAAGAAAAAAGCGGAGACUAUCUCCAGAUCUCUAUGAAUAAUCCUCAAUCGAGAAUCUUGGUGGAGAUAAAGAAGUCCUCGAGCAAUGCCUAUGAUGAUCUCAUACCGUUUU